Non-coding RNA from Taeniopygia guttata (zebra finch), 676 nucleotides. The record is from RefSeq and is a predicted model, not a curated record. NCBI's taxonomy places the organism in Eukaryota, Metazoa, Chordata, Aves, Passeriformes, Estrildidae.
UUGGUGUUACAAUAUGGGUAAAAAAACACUCUGUGGGGCAUUUCUAAACUAUUGAGAGAAUCCAAAAGCUAUAUAAAAAGUAUAGAUUCUUUUUUUUUUGUACAGCAUCUAUUCUGCUCAUCUAUUACUGAAGCUAAGGCUACUGAGGCUGUCAUUUCAUUAUUUAAAAAGCCCUUCCACCUGUGUCAGAGGUUCCACAAAGAGGCUUCCCAGUAUAAGGGUGCUGGGCUACCUAUACCCUGGCGAGAUGUGAUUAUUUCAGAGAAUGCACUUGUUUUCCUGAAACAAUGGGUUUCUUUUGCUGCUGCUGACUCCUUCCUUCCCUCACAUGCUGCUUAUCUGGGUGAAGAAUCAUGGCUGGAAUUUAUAAAUGCUUCUCUGUUGUGCAAAGGAGCUUUGAUAGCAAGAAAAGAAUAACAGGUAACGUAAUAAGAAAAAGUAUCUGGCUACAGCUUUGGAAAUGUAAAUUCUUUUAUCAGUCCCCCUGCUAAUUAGAAUUUCUGUUUGUUGUUUCACAUUUAGUGGAUUUCAUUAUAGUUUCCUUGGUAAUUAGAUAUUUUAACUAUAAAUGAAAAAUACCAGACCAAAAAAACCCAAAGCAAAACAACAAAACACAACCCCAAAGUACCCACAAAAAAACAUUCAUUAAGAUGCAAAGUUGUAUAUAGAUAUGACU